Molecule: long non-coding RNA, 99 nt
Organism: Stegastes partitus (bicolor damselfish)
Lineage: Eukaryota; Metazoa; Chordata; Actinopteri; Pomacentridae
Exons: 4
Source: RefSeq, a predicted model, not a curated record
CGGCGAGCAGGGGAGGCUGUAGCUCAUUUUGCUGCGCAUCUUAGCGGCUCCUCCAAAAGUUUUCUAAUACACUUGGCUCCUAUAGUCAAACAAGUGAUU